AAUUCGCCCUUAGAGUUUGAUCCUGGCUCAGAUUGAACGCUGGCGGCAGGCCUAACACAUGCAAGUCGAGCGGUAGAGAGAAGCUUGCUUCUCUUGAGAGCGACGGACGGGUGAGUAAUGCCUAGGAAUCUGCCUGGUAGUGGGGGAUAACGUUCGGAAACGGACGCUAAUACCGCAUACGUCCUACGGGAGAAAGCAGGGGACCUUCGGGCCUUGCGCUAUCAGAUGAGCCUAGGUCGGAUUAGCUAGUUGGUGGGGUAAUGGCUCACCAAGGCGACGAUCCGUAACUGGUCUGAGAGGAUGAUCAGUCACACUGGAACUGAGACACGGUCCAGACUCCUACGGGAGGCAGCAGUGGGGAAUAUUGGACAAUGGGCGAAAGCCUGAUCCAGCCAUGCCGCGUGUGUGAAGAAGGUCUUCGGAUUGUAAAGCACUUUAAGUUGGGAGGAAGGGCAGUAAAUUAAUACUUUGCUGUUUGACGUACCGACAGAA
RNAcentral lists this ribosomal RNA (492 nucleotides) under uncultured bacterium. RNAcentral's name for it is "bacterial SSU rRNA". It matches the Rfam family "Bacterial small subunit ribosomal RNA", at positions 1 to 486 of the family's 1533-position model. The record is from RNAcentral.